Molecule: ribosomal RNA, 253 nt
Filed under: uncultured bacterium
Lineage: Bacteria
Description: partial 16S ribosomal RNA
Rfam family: Bacterial small subunit ribosomal RNA
Source: RNAcentral
UACGUAGGGCGCAAGCGUUAUCCGGAAUUAUUGGGCGUAAAGAGCUCGUAGGCGGUUUGUCGCGUCUGCCGUGAAAGUCCGGGGCUCAACUCCGGAUCUGCAGUGGGUACGGGCAGACUAGAGUGUGGUAGGGGAGACUGGAAUUCCUGGUGUAGCGGUGAAAUGCGCAGAUAUCAGGAGGAACACCGAUGGCGAAGGCAGGUCUCUGGGCCACUACUGACGCUGAGAAGCGAAAGCGUGGGGAGCGAACAGG